This 687-nucleotide ribosomal RNA is filed under the name Triticum aestivum (bread wheat). Its description in RNAcentral is "partial small subunit ribosomal RNA". The record is from RNAcentral. Lineage: Eukaryota; Viridiplantae; Streptophyta; Magnoliopsida; Poales; Poaceae.
AUGCAGGAGUUCACCCGUGACAGGGAUAGGGGCGCCGGCAGGAAGUGCGUGCCUGCGCUCCACAAGAUAUAUGUCACGCCGCGCACCACCAACGAGGGCCUGAGGGGAGUCUACGGGAAGGACGUCGUGACGGUGGGCAUCAAGAAGCAUGUCCCGGCAGACUAUUUCGCCACUACCGCCACGUUGAUGCCCCCGGGGAGUGUCCGUGUUCUCCGACAAGAGCAAGAAGCUGCCACAUGCGUCGAAUCUGCCGCCUUCGCUCCCCGCCUCUUCCUCAUUACGGUGGCGCGCGACGGCCAAAACUUCAUGAAGGUAUUUGAAUGUGGUAUGGAUCAAUGGCAUAACCAUGUGUCUUCUGUAGCAUAUUGCUUAGAUGUGAGGGGCAGUAGCAAUAAGGGCCUUCGUUUCUUUACGUCCUCCCUUUCUUCUAGCCUCCUCGAGUCCAGCGGCUGGAGUCCACAUGACCUGCUUCCCCCCUUCGUGUGGGUGAGGCAAGGAGAUGAACAGAUCCGGCAAGCGCUUGCAGAGAACGAGGCCAACGUUGUCGCUGCCAGCGGAGUCCACGCCGUUGUCUACCUCAUCUUAUCUUUCUGCGGUACGGCAAAACAAAUCACACUCAGUUCAUUUCUGUACCCAUGCUUUUGUUCCAGUCAUUUUUGGUUCCCAGGUUGUUUCACUUUCCUAUAG